AGUGAACGCUGGCGGUAGGCCUAACACAUGCAAGUCGAACGGCAGCACAGUAAGAGCUUGCUCUUACGGGUGGCGAGUGGCGGACGAGUGAGGAAUACAUCGGAAUCUACUUUUUCGUGGGGGAUAACGUAGGGAAACUUACGCUACUACCGCAUACGACCUACGGGUGAAAGCAGGGGAUCUUCGUACCUUGCGCGAUUGAAUGAGCCGAUGUCGGAUUAGCUAGUUGGCGGGGUAAAGGCCCACCAAGGCGACGAUCCGUAGCUGGUCUGAGAGGAUGAUCAGCCACACUGGAACUGGGACACGGUCCAGACUCCUACGGGAGGAAGCGGUGGGGAAUAUUGGACAAUGGGCGCAAGCCUGAUCCAGCCAUACCGCGUGGGUGAAGAAGGCCUUCGGGUUGUAAAGCCCUUUUGUUGGGAAAGAAAAGCAGCAGGUUAAUACCCCGCUGUUCUGACGGUACCCAAAGAAUAAGCACCGGCUAACUUCGUG
This 492-nucleotide ribosomal RNA is filed under the name uncultured bacterium. Its description in RNAcentral is "partial 16S ribosomal RNA". It matches the Rfam family "Bacterial small subunit ribosomal RNA", at positions 29 to 507 of the family's 1533-position model. The record is from RNAcentral.